Long non-coding RNA from Eucalyptus grandis, 410 nucleotides. RefSeq lists it as uncharacterized. The transcript is spliced from 3 exons. NCBI's taxonomy places the organism in Eukaryota, Viridiplantae, Streptophyta, Magnoliopsida, Myrtales, Myrtaceae. The record is from RefSeq and is a predicted model, not a curated record.
GCUUGCUUUACAAUUCGCCUACAUUCCUCAUCUUCUAUCCAGUAAGCUUCAUACCUGAAAUCCCGACGUUUACGACCUGUUGUUGGAAAAAUUGACAGGAUAAGAGGACAAUGAUCCGACCCGAUGGCUGGCAAGGCGACGACUUCUGCAGUUGGAUAUGCUAUUCUCCAUUCCAUGCAAGAGGUGAUUCUGGUACUAUAUCUGGAUCUUCAAGGAAUGCAGCUUGUUUCCCAUAAAAUACUUUGCCAUAAGGGCUGAGUUCUCGGACUUCCGCACGUAGCCAGUUCCCAAAGUUUCCUGGUUCCAAGAAUGAAGAGGACUACCUCAGCAAUAAAGCCUCGCCCAAGAACGAGGAUUAGACUGGCCCCCUUAGCUUCCUUCAGCCUUGUGCGAAGAUAUGCUCCAUGACG